GUCUAUGGCCAUGCCACCCUGAACGUGCCCGAUCUCAUCUGAUCUCAGAAGCUAAUAAGCAGGGUCGGGCCUGGUUAGUACUUGGAUGGGAGACCACCUAAGAAUACCAGGUGCUGUAAGCA
This 122-nucleotide ribosomal RNA is filed under the name Pteropus alecto (black flying fox). Lineage: Eukaryota; Metazoa; Chordata; Mammalia; Chiroptera; Pteropodidae. The record is from RNAcentral.